GAGCACAGGUGUGCCGUGCAUGACCGGACGGAUGUCGCCCAAUCGGAAUGAAGGGAGGGCGGGAUCAGUGAAAACCACGUGAUCAUCCACGAGUGCGGUGCAGAGUCGCUGAGAUAACCGGAACUGCAGAUGCUGGAGAAUCCGAGAUAACACGGUGUGCAGCUGGAUGUACACAGCAGGUCAAGCAGCAUCAGAGGAGCAGGAAAGCUGACGUUUCGGGCCUAGAUCCUUCGCUGAGACCAAGAUUUGUGCAAUUGAGGAGAUUUUAUUCAGGAGCUGAAACUCGAUGAUGCAGAGUCAGAGAAUCAAAUCAUUCUGCAGUGAGGAAUCGUCAGACAGGAGCUGGGACCAGAGAGACCGAGACUGAGAGAAUUAUAAUCAACCAUCCAGUGUCCUUGUCGUUCACUUACACACUCACAUGCUCACAGGGGAAAUGAAUUGUGGGGCUCAGGCAGUCUCUGGAGUUUGGACCACAAGGGCGUGAGCUCUGGGCUGGGACUUGGGGGAGACAAAGGGGCAAAAAUGGGGCUGCUACACAGUCUGAUCCCACAGAUUUUACUGCCUUCCUCUGCCUCCAUAUUCCCAGCUUCUUGUCUCUCUCACAGCUUUCUAUAAAUCCCCUUCUCCCCUCCAUCCUUCAAAUCUCCCCCUAUCCACUGUACACAGGCUGUUAAAAGGAGAACAGAGUGGGGAUGAAUUCACAGGUUGAUGCUAGGGUAACAGAAUGGGGAUGGGUUCAGAGGUCAAUGCUAGGGUAACAGAAUGAAGAUGGGUUCACAGGCCAAGGCGAGGAGAACAGAGUGGGAAUGCGUUACUAGGUCAUUGCUAAAGCAGCAGUGUGGGGCUGUGUUCAAAGGCCAUAGCUGGUAGAACAGAGCGGGGGUGCGAGGAGAACAGAGGAUGCAUUCACGGGCUGCUGCACAGGGACAUACUAAGGAAGGGUUCUCUGGCCUAUGCUAGCACAACAGAAUGGGGAUGGGCUCACCGGCCAUCCCUCGGUAUAAUAGUGUGGGAAUGAGUUAACAGGCCAUUUUCUAUGAGAACAGUUUCAGGAUACGUUCACACAUCGCUGCUAGGAGAACAGAGUGUGGGAUGGGUUUGUAGUCUAUGGUUAGAGGAACAUUGUUAGGAUGGGUUCAUAGGCCAUUGCAAGGAGAACAAGUGGGAGUGGGUUAACAGAUCAUUGCGAGGGGAACAAGAUUAAGAUGGGCUCACAGGCCAUUGCUAGAGGAACAGAAUGGGGAUGGGAUCACAGACUAUUGCUAUAAAACUAAAUUGGGAUUGUGUCCCCAAGUCACUGCUCGGAGAACAGUGUGGAGAUGGUUGAAAAGUCUGGUGCUAAGGCAAAAGCGUGAGGAUUGGUUCACAGGCUGGUGCAAGUGAUACAGUAUUGAUGGUUUCACAGACUGUUUCUGGCAGAGCAGAUUGGGAACGGUGUCACGGGCAGUUGUCAGUGCAGCAGAGUGGAGGUGGUUUCACAGGCCGUUGCUCGGGGAAGAGAGUAGGGAUUGGCUGACAGACUGUUACUAAGGGAACAGAGGCAGGAUCAGUUCACACGUUGUUGCUACGAGAACAUUUUGUGGAUGUUCAACAGGUUGUUGCUUGGGGUACAGUGGAGAUGUGGUCACAGACAUUUGCAAUGAAAUUGGGGAUGGGUAUGAGCCUGUUGCAAGGGGAUCAGAGUGGGGAUGGAUUCAUAGGCCUUUCCAAGGGCAACCGUCUAAGGAUCUGCUCACAGGCCUUGACUCGGGCAACACAGUGGCAAUGGGCUCACAGAUUGUUGCUGGGGGAACAGAUUGGGAAUGUUUCACAUGCUGUAGCUACAAGAAAAGACUGGUCAUGUGUUAAUAAGUUGUUGCAAGAAGAAGGGAAUGCAGACGUGUUUACAGGUCAUUGAUAGGAGAACAGUGGAGAUGUGUUGACAGGCCAUUGCUAGCUUAACAGAAUGGGGAUGGGCUUACAGGCUUUUGCUCUUGGAGAAUAGUGUGGAUGGUUCACAGGGAGAGAAAAAGUGUAGAACCGACACAGAGAGAGAUCAACAGACAGACCGAGAGGGAAACAGAGGGAUGCAUAGAUUGAUUUGUUGUCACAUGUACUGAAAUACAGUAAAAUAUUUUGUUUAUGAGUGGUACAGAUCAGAUCGGAUCCAGGCAGAGUCAGCAUGGUUUACAAAAAGGAAUCCAUGCUUGAGGAAAAUGUUCAAUUUAAAAAAAAACACUAGCCCAAUCACUGUAACUCCUGGGAAACUCAGGCUGCAAAUCACAGCACUCGGUCCCCACUGAAAUCAACUGAUUCACAACACUCCGAUUUUGCAUCUCUUUUUGCUUCUGGCCCUGUCUCACCUUCACCUCCCUCAGCCCAGCCAGAUCCAAUGUCAAUUAGUGCUCAAUGCCAAUGCAGGCCAAUGGCAAAUCCAAUGUUUACCUGGAAAGCGAGCAGGAGGAACACAAGACACAAGGUGUUACAACGUGAUGGGGUUGUCGAUGACAGGUUAGAGAGGCACAAGGAUCUCAUCUUUAUGCUCCCAUGUACUAGUUAGAUGAAUAUGCUCAGUGCACAUUACUCCUUCUACAUUCAUCAGUCUUGUGCUUGUGUUUAAGUUUUGAAAAUGGCUUUGAACGUGAGACAAGUGGAGCUGUAACAAUCCCAUGGUAUUCAGCAGCAAGAAAAUACCAAUCAGGCUUUUCAAAAAUGGGUAUCUUCUGAGAUCGUGAGCCACAUGGAAGAAUGAGAACUGUCUCACUGGGGGUCUCCAUGUCUACUUUCAAAGUCUGCUCGAGGCGACCAGAAACUUUGCUGAAUUUGUAAGUUUAUCGAGAGUAGUGCUGGAAUACAGGGAAAUUGCAAAGUUUAGUCAUUUGUUAAACAGAAGUUGCAAGAAUAUAUCCAACUGUUACAGACAAGCCAAUUUACUUCGGGUGCUUGGAAACUUGUAGACGCAACGGUGAAGGCAAAAUGAAGAGUUACAUGGGCAAAGAUCAGUCAAUUCAUGGGAAGUUGCCAUACAUUUCUCCAGGAGACAUGAUGUUAGUUAACUUGCUGUUAAUGACCUACGUUUUCUUUUCAACGUGUGAAAUAUGGGGUUGAUCAGAGGAAUACAGUUCAUGUUUGUCCAAGACUUCCAGAAAGUAUGUGAUUCAAUGUUAUUGAGCUGACCCGUGAGUUUAUGUAUUUGGGGAAAAUAACUACAAUAACAAUCCAUGUACAAAAUUGGCUGAGAGAAAGGAAAUACAACAGUGGCUUUGGAUAUUUUUUGGGAUAGUUGAAUGAAUCUAUUGAAAUUCCCUCGGUGGCGAUGUUGAGACCCUUGUGUUUUCCAAAUAUAUAUUAAUGCUCUAAACAUAGGACUACAGGGGACAGGAUCAAUAUUUGUGCAUACGUUAGGAUUCAGAAACAGAGAAAAAUGUGAGCAGAAUGGUACAAAGAAGAACAACACAGCAAAGGAACAGGUACUUUGGGCCACCAAGACUGUGCUGAUACAUGAUGCCUUUCGAAACUAAAAACCUUUUGUUUCUGUGCAAUCCAUAUCAGUUUAUUCUCUGCCUAUUCACCUAUCUCUCAUAUCCACCUUUACCACCCCCUCUACUAGUGUAUUCCAAGCACUUACAACCCUCUGUCUAAACGCUUGCCUCUUACAUCUCCUUUAAACAUACACCCUUUUGCCUUAAACUUAGGUCCCAUAGUAAUUGACAUUUUCACCUGAGAAAAUACUUCACUCUCCAUUCAAUCAAUGCCUCUCAUAAUUUUCUGGAAACUUGUGUAAAGUUAGUGGGGUGUGUGGAUCAGAGGUGGAUGAAUUUCAAUGUGGAGAAGUGUCAGGCCACACAUUUUGAUGGGAUGAAUGUACAUCAGCAAUAUAAAAUAAAAGGUGCAACUCUAAAGGUGUGGCAAGGAUAGAAUGACCUGGGUAUAUAUGUGCAUAAGUAAUUGAAUGUAGAAGGAUAGAUUAAACGAGAAUUUAUUAGACCCUACGAUAUUGUGUUUUAUUAUUAGUGCCUUUGAGUACAACAGCAAGGUGGUUCAGAUUUCUCAAUGGCAAUGAACAGGGUUUUGUUUCUAGGUUUCAUUCAGACACAUUAGGAUUGCAGCAAGAGCAAGUGGCCAAUUGUCUGGUUGGGUGGAUGGAGAAGCCUGAUUCAUUCAUAUGAAAACCUAGGAUAGAAACUUAUGGCCCUGAGGAGACGCUAUCCUCAAAUUGAGUGACUGCUGGCCACGCUGAGGGAUAUUGUACAGCAGGGAGGAUAGUCAGUCAUCCUGAGCUAUGAAGAGGGGAUGUUGUGAACAUCUGUCCUGGACUGACGGUUGGAUUUUUGAAACUCCUUUUAUCAGAGCUCAGAGUGGCUGGUACACACAGGAAAACUCAAAUCAAUUGAAAUGAUUAUCUCUUCUGAAUGGCUCGCUAUGGCUGAUGGAGAUUGAUUUUACAAACUAACUCAUAGAAUUUCCACGGAUUAACCUCAGUUACAUCACCCGAUUCCAAGGGAUUUCCUUAAUUUUGAAACUAUUCUCUGACACGGAACUUUUGAAAUCUUUCCAGCUGCAGAUUCCAGCAGAUCUUAAUAUUGUCAUCAAUAAGACUGUUUCAGGGCUAAAUUUUUUUAAUGAGUCAUUAAUAAUUUAGGGAUUUUAUUGUUGUCCUGUGUUAUUUGGGAGAGGUUCAAUGUCUCUGCACCUGGAGUGACACCUUUGCUUGGGAUCUGAAUCCAUGUUAAUCUAUUGCUCUCUUUCACUGGUGGGCGGAGGGCACUCUUUCUGUGCUGUAAAUCUGUAUAACUCUGUCCAUCUGUAUGGCUUUAUGACCCUUGCUUUCCUUGAUCACCUCUCUGCCAUUAUCGAACUUCCACUGCCUCCAAUCAUGCAUGUAUUUUAGAUUCUGUUUCGGGCUACACAUUUACUGUGUCUUCUCCCACUGCCCAUCCCCUCACUAUGUGCGACUGGCUUACCAGCAUGAUGUUCCCACAUUAUCUUUCACAGGAAUUGAUUCUUAAGUGCAACAGUCCACCUGUUUUCCACUUCGGAGAUAAUAUUAACAAUCACAUUCAGCAGCAUUCCUCACCUCCACCUAAAGGUUGGGAGAUUUUGGCAAACAGCAUUUCCUUUUGUCUCUUCACAACAGAUAACGCAUUAGCCACAGCCAACCAGUUUGUGGUUACAGUGCUCAAAUAUUAAUAGUGCCCAAUUAAUAUUAAUAACACCUCCUUCAACUCAACCAGACAGGGGCCAGCCCUUCUUUAGUUGAGGUCUCCAGUGAUGCUUUGAAAAAUCAGAGUCAAUCUGUCUGCGUGAAAUUUAAACAAAGUUUGGUCAUCAUCUAACUGGUGCAUUUUCCUGGUAAUGCCUUGACCAAUCAGAGUCUAUUAUUCGCCCAGUCAGGUCAUGACAGUAUAAAACGUUUGUUCCCUUUCCAUUGGUGCUUAUUGUGAAUGAACCGAAAUGUGCAAGACAAAAAGCUUUGAUGAAACUUGCCUUUUUUGCAUACAGUUAGACAUUAUUGAACUGUUGUACAUUGUUGUGGCUCGGCCUCUCUCACAAUGCCACCACACAAGGCCUUGUAGAUGAUUAUGGAGGAACAAUGUGUAUUGUGGUUGAUUAAUUAUUUCAAUAAAUAAAGAGAGGACAGAACUGUGA
Molecule: long non-coding RNA, 5628 nt
Organism: Stegostoma tigrinum
Lineage: Eukaryota; Metazoa; Chordata; Chondrichthyes; Orectolobiformes; Stegostomatidae
Exons: 2
Source: RefSeq, a predicted model, not a curated record